UACGUAGGGGGCAAGCGUUGUCCGGAAUCAUUGGGCGUAAAGAGCGUGUAGGCGGCCCGGUAAGUCCGCUGUGAAAGUCCAGGGCUCAACCCUGGGAUGCCGGUGGAUACUGUCGGGCUCGAGUCCGGAAGAGGAGUGUGGAAUUCCUGGUGUAGCGGUGAAAUGCGCAGAUAUCAGGAGGAGCACCAAUGGCGAAGGCAGCACUCUGGGACGUGACUGACGCUGAGACGCGAAAGCGUGGGGAGCAAACAGG
RNAcentral lists this ribosomal RNA (253 nucleotides) under uncultured bacterium. RNAcentral's name for it is "partial 16S ribosomal RNA". It matches the Rfam family "Bacterial small subunit ribosomal RNA", at positions 524 to 776 of the family's 1533-position model. The record is from RNAcentral.